RNAcentral lists this ribosomal RNA (700 nucleotides) under uncultured bacterium. Its description in RNAcentral is "bacterial SSU rRNA". It matches the Rfam family "Bacterial small subunit ribosomal RNA", at positions 8 to 719 of the family's 1533-position model. The record is from RNAcentral.
AGAGUUUGAUCCUGGCUCAGGACGAACGCUGGCGGCGUGCUUAACACAUGCAAGUCGAACGGAAAGGCCCUGCUUUUGUGGGGUGCUCGAGUGGCGAACGGGUGAGUAACACGUGAGUAACCUGCCCUUGACUUUGGGAUAACUUCAGGAAACUGGGGCUAAUACCGGAUAGGAGCUCCUGCUGCAUGGUGGGGGUUGGAAAGUUUCGGCGGUUGGGGAUGGACCCGCGGCUUAUCAGCUUGUUGGUGGGGUAGUGGCUUACCAAGGCUUUGACGGGUAGCCGACCUGAGAGGGUGACCGGCCACAUUGGGACUGAGAUACGGCCCAGACUCCUACGGGAGGCAGCAGUGGGGAAUAUUGCACAAUGGGCGGAAGCCUGAUGCAGCAACGCCGCGUGCGGGAUGACGGCCUUCGGGUUGUAAACCGCUUUCGCCUGUGACGAAGCGUGAGUGACGGUAAUGGGUAAAGAAGCACCGGCUAACUACGUGCCAGCAGCCGCGGUGAUACGUAGGGUGCGAGCGUUGUCCGGAUUUAUUGGGCGUAAAGGGCUCGUAGGUGGUUGAUCGCGUCGGAAGUGUAAUCUUGGGGCUUAACCCUGAGCGUGCUUUCGAUACGGGUUGACUUGAGGAAGGUAGGGGAGAAUGGAAUUCCUGGUGGAGCGGUGGAAUGCGCAGAUAUCAGGAGGAACACCAGUGGCGAA